UACGUAGGGGGCAAGCGUUAUCCGGAUUUACUGGGUGUAAAGGGAGCGUAGACGGCAGGGCAAGUCUGAUGUGAAAGGUCGGGGCCCAACCCCGGGACUGCAUUGGAAACUGUCCGGCUGGAGUACAGGAGAGGUAAGUGGAAUUCCUAGUGUAGCGGUGAAAUGCGUAGAUAUUAGGAGGAACACCAGUGGCGAAGGCAGCUUACUGGACUGUAACUGACGUUGAGGCUCGAAAGCGUGGGGAGCAAACAGG
RNAcentral lists this ribosomal RNA (253 nucleotides) under uncultured bacterium. Its description in RNAcentral is "partial 16S ribosomal RNA". It matches the Rfam family "Bacterial small subunit ribosomal RNA", at positions 524 to 776 of the family's 1533-position model. The record is from RNAcentral.